GGCCUGAUGGCCUAAUGGUAAGGCGUUGCUUUCCGGUGGCAAAGAUUGUGGGUUCGAGUCCCACUUGGGUCG
Glarea lozoyensis 74030 is the source of this 72-nucleotide transfer RNA. It matches the Rfam family "tRNA". From Rfam's summary of the family: Transfer RNA (tRNA) molecules are approximately 80 nucleotides in length. Their secondary structure includes four short double-helical elements and three loops (D, anti-codon, and T loops). Further hydrogen bonds mediate the characteristic L-shaped molecular structure. tRNAs have two regions of fundamental functional importance: the anti-codon, which is responsible for specific mRNA codon recognition, and the 3' end, to which the tRNAs corresponding amino acid is attached (by aminoacyl-tRNA synthetases). tRNAs cope with the degeneracy of the genetic code in two manners: having more than one tRNA (with a specific anti-codon) for a particular amino acid; and 'wobble' base-pairing, i.e. permitting non-standard base-pairing at the 3rd anti-codon position. Lineage: Eukaryota; Fungi; Ascomycota; Leotiomycetes; Helotiales; Helotiaceae. The record is from Rfam.